AUUGAACGCUGGCGGCAGGCCUAACACAUGCAAGUCUAAUGGUAACAGGAAACAGCUUGCUGUUUCGCUGACGAGUGGCGGACGGGUGAGUAAUGUCUGGGAAACUGCCUGAUGGAGGGGGAUAACUACUGGAAACGGUAGCUAAUACCGCAUAACGUCGCAAGACCAAAGAGGGGGACCUUCGGGCCUCUUGCCAUCAGAUGUGCCCAGAUGGGAUUAGCUAGUAGGUGGGGUAACGGCUCACCUAGGCGACGAUCCCUAGCUGGUCUGAGAGGAUGACCAGCCACACUGGAACUGAGACACGGUCCAGACUCCUACGGGAGGCAGCAGUGGGGAAUAUUGCACAAUGGGCGCAAGCCUGAUGCAGCCAUGCCGCGUGUAUGAAGAAGGCCUUCGGGUUGUAAAGUACUUUCAGCGGGGAGGAAGGGAGUAAAGUUAAUACCUUUGCUCAUUGACGUUACCCGCAGAAGAAGCACCGGCUAACUCCGUG
RNAcentral lists this ribosomal RNA (490 nucleotides) under uncultured bacterium. RNAcentral's name for it is "partial 16S ribosomal RNA". It matches the Rfam family "Bacterial small subunit ribosomal RNA", at positions 30 to 507 of the family's 1533-position model. The record is from RNAcentral.